AUAGCAUAUCAUAAGCGGAGGAAAAGAAACCAACAGGGAUUACCUCAGUAACGGCGAGUGAAGCGGUAACAGCUCAAAUUUGAAAUCUGGCCUCACGGUCCGAGUUGUAAUUUGUAGAGGAUGCUUCGAGCAUGGUCUGGCCUAAGUUCCUUGGAACAGGACGUCAUAGAGGGUGAGAAUCCCGUAUGCGGCCAGGUGCCUACGCUCAUGUGAAGCUCCUUCGACGAGUCGAGUUGUUUGGGAAUGCAGCUCAAAAUGGGUGGUAAAUUUCAUCUAAAGCUAAAUAUUGGCCAGAGACCGAUAGCGCACAAGUAGAGUGAUCGAAAGAUGAAAAGCACUUUGGAAAGAGAGUUAAACAGUACGUGAAAUUGUUGAAAGGGAAGCGCUUGCAACCAGACUUGCGCGCGGCCGAUCAUCCGGUGUUCUCACCGGUGCACUCGGCCGUGCUCAGGCCAGCAUCGGUUUUGGCGGCUGGAUAAAGGCCCUAGGAAUGUGGCUCCUCUCGGGGAGUGUUAUAGCCUAGGGUGCAAUGCAGCCUGCUGGGACCGAGGACCGCGCUUCGGCUAGGAUGCUGGCGUAAUGGUUGUAAGCGGCCCGUCUUGAAACACGGACCAAGGAGUCUAACAUCUAUGCGAGUGUUUGGGUGUCAAACCCAUACGCGUAAUGAAAGUGAACGGAGGUGAGAACCCUUAAGGGUGCAUCAUCGACCGGUCCUGAAGUUUACGGAAGGAUCUGAGUAAGAGCAUAGCUGUUGGGACCCGAAAGAUGGUGAACUAUGCCUGAAUAGGGUGAAGCCAGAGGAAACUCUGGUGGAGGCUCGCAGCGGUUCUGACGUGCAAAUCGAUCGUCAAAUUUGGGUAUAGGGGCGAAAGACUAAUCGAACCAUCUAGUAGCUGGUUCCUGCCGAUU
RNAcentral lists this ribosomal RNA (909 nucleotides) under Pseudogymnoascus roseus. RNAcentral's name for it is "LSU rRNA". It matches the Rfam family "Eukaryotic large subunit ribosomal RNA", at positions 35 to 966 of the family's 3401-position model. The record is from RNAcentral. Lineage: Eukaryota; Fungi; Ascomycota; Leotiomycetes; Thelebolales; Thelebolaceae.